UCACAAUGCACAGCAAAACACAGGGUUUCAGUUUUUAACGGAACUGGGGCCCAGGAAGAGGCAAAAGGGAAGGCAAAACAGGAGGUUAGACAAUGGAAGCUUUUCUCUAUACUGUUGCUGUCACCUCUCCUGGGCAGCGGGGGCUGUUACAGAACGUCAAGCAGACGGCAUUUUACCAGGAAAUGCAGGUGUCCAGCAACACAAUUAAGGAGAUUUGAAUUGACCAAAUCCUUCGCCCUUCCAGAAAACAAAACUGAAUAUACACCUCUUCCAAGCUUUCCUCUAAAAAAUAUUCAGGACACCAGGCUGACAAGUAUAGGUACUUAAUGCAUCCAAGUGUGUCUAUUUGCCAUCAUGCAGGCACACUGAAGGUGCAGCAUGAUCACCAGGACUGCCUGCUUCCCUUGGGUUGACCUCAUGUCAACACUUUGGAAAGAGAAACCCCUUGUAAGGCAACUUUCCUGCACGCUCUGCACCACUGGGAGUUGGGCUAGUUUGUGAGCUCUUGCCAAUAGAAGAAAUAUAAUUUUAUUCCGUGUGUGUAUAUGUGUGUGUGUGUGCAUGUAGCACAUGGAUAUUUGGUCUUCUAAUAUAAAUGUAGCUUUCUGUUCUGCUUGGGCCAGCAGUGUCCUCCUGCCCUCUCCAUUUGCUGUAAUUCUCGUUGUUCACAGAAGGCUUCAGAAUCCAGCCAACACAUAUCACAGAACUGGUGAGGAGAACCAUUACUCAUAAAUUUGUGCAAUUGAUUAAGUCCCUAAUUGUACCCAGGAGGUCAUGUCUUGAAAUGCUUUCAGACCAUCAAAAAGAGAACAAGCUGCUUGGGAACAGUAAGCACCAUCUGAGACUUCUUCCAUAACUCAGACUGUUUACUUUUCAUCUUCACUCACCACUUCCAAGCACAUCUUUUUUUCCUCAUAUUCUUUUACUGUUUCUUCUUUUGAAACUCACUUCCAGGGAAAGUUCUAAGGAUAUCUUGGCCUUCAGGGCAGAUUCAAGUCCUGAUUUCUCUGUACCCCAGCAGAGAACGUAUGGAGCAGACCGAGGUCCUUCUACCCCA
RNAcentral lists this long non-coding RNA (1057 nucleotides) under Anser brachyrhynchus (Pink-footed goose). RNAcentral's name for it is "lncRNA (ENSABRG00000017133.1)". Lineage: Eukaryota; Metazoa; Chordata; Aves; Anseriformes; Anatidae. The record is from RNAcentral.